GAUGAACGCUAGCGGCAGGCCUAACACAUGCAAGUCGAGGGGCAGCAUAGGGUAGCAAUACUCUGAUGGCGACCGGCAAACGGGUGAGUAACGCGUAUGCAACCUACCCUGUACAGGGGGAUAACCCGGAGAAAUUCGGACUAAUAUCCCGUAAUAAUAUCCGGAGGCAUCUUUGGAUAUUUAAAGUUCCGACGGUACGGGAUGGGCAUGCGUAACAUUAACUGGUUGGUAAGGUAACGGCUUACCAAGGCUAUGAUGUUUAGGGGUCCUGAGAGGGUGGUCCCCCAACUGGUACUGAGACACGGACCAGACUCCUACGGGAGGCAGCAGUGAGGAAUAUUGGUCAAUGGGCGCAAGCCUGAACCAGCCAUCCCGCGUGCAGGAAGACGGCCCUAUGGGUUGUAAACUGCUUUUCCAGGGAGAGAAACUUACGCACGUGUUGCGUGACUGACGGUACCCUGGGAAUAAGCAUCGGCUAACUCCGUAG
RNAcentral lists this ribosomal RNA (487 nucleotides) under uncultured bacterium. RNAcentral's name for it is "bacterial SSU rRNA". It matches the Rfam family "Bacterial small subunit ribosomal RNA", at positions 28 to 508 of the family's 1533-position model. The record is from RNAcentral.